CCUACGGUAGGCAGCAGUGGGGAAUAUUGGACAAUGGGGGGAACCCUGAUCCAGCCAUGCCGCGUGUGUGAAGAAGGCCCUCGGGUUGUAAAGCACUUUCAGUGAGGAAGAACGCCUGGUGGUUAAUACCCAUCAGGAAAGACAUCACUCACAGAAGAAGCACCGGCUAACUCCGUGCCAGCAGCCGCGGUAAUACGGAGGGUGCGAGCGUUAAUCGGAAUUACUGGGCGUAAAGCGCGCGUAGGUGGCUUGAUAAGCCGGUUGUGAAAGCCCCGGGCUCAACCUGGGAACGGCAUCCGGAACUGUCAAGCUAGAGUGCAGGAGAGGAAGGUAGAAUUCCCGGUGUAGCGGUGAAAUGCGUAGAGAUCGGGAGGAAUACCAGUGGCGAAGGCGGCCUUCUGGACUGACACUGACACUGAGGUGCGAAAGCGUGGGUAGCAAACAGGAUUAGAUACCCUUGUAGUC
RNAcentral lists this ribosomal RNA (465 nucleotides) under Vreelandella stevensii. RNAcentral describes it as "partial 16S ribosomal RNA". It matches the Rfam family "Bacterial small subunit ribosomal RNA", at positions 338 to 795 of the family's 1533-position model. Lineage: Bacteria; Pseudomonadati; Pseudomonadota; Gammaproteobacteria; Oceanospirillales; Halomonadaceae. The record is from RNAcentral.